GGGGGAAGGAGGCAGCGAGCCAGGGUGAGCUCACCCCGCAUGCAUGUGGCUGGGCGGAGAACAACUCACGUCCAGAUUCCUGGACUGCAGUGGCCCAGCCGCAGGACCGGCCGCUCAGCAGUGGCUCAUGCAAUGGGCCAUUCCCGGGCCUCUGGGUGCAAGCCGACCCAGACUGUCUCCAGUGUGCACAUUCCAUUUUUAGAAUCAGAAAUGUAUACGCUUGCUGUAUGUAAUGGGCCCUGUCCCGUCCAGCCAGGGUUUACAUUUACCUGAAACAGAAGCUGGGCUGUGGAGAGGGUUCAGAAGCUAAAGGUGCCAGAUCCGGUGACCUGAGUUUGAUCCCCAGGACCUACAUGGUGGAAGGAAAGAACCAGCUCUUGCACGUUGUUCUCUCACCCCUACACAUGUACUGUGACAUGUAUGCACUCAUAUGCAUGUAUGUGCACACAUACAAUAAAUUAAUUAAUUUUAAAAAUGAAAACUUUUUUUUAAGCCAGAAAGAAAUUCAGGUACAGUGGCUGUUACUUGCUAAUAG
This 535-nucleotide long non-coding RNA is filed under the name Cricetulus griseus (Chinese hamster). RNAcentral's name for it is "lncRNA (ENSCGRG00000024271.1)". Lineage: Eukaryota; Metazoa; Chordata; Mammalia; Rodentia; Cricetidae. The record is from RNAcentral.